CCUACGGGAGGCAGCAGUGAGGAAUAUUGGUCAAUGGGCGGGAGCCUGAACCAGCCAAGCCGCGUGAGGGAAGAAGGUACAGCGUAUCGUAAACCUCUUUUGUCAGGGAACAAAGGCGGGGACUAGUCCCCGGCUGAGGGUACCUGAAGAAAAAGCAUCGGCUAACUCCGUUCCAGCAGCCGCGGUAAUACGGAGGAUGCGAGGGUGAUCCGGAUUUAUUGGGUUUAAAGGGUGCGCAGGCGGCCUGUUAAGUCAGCGGUAAAAGCCCGGGGCUAAACCCCGGCGAGCCGUUGAAACUGGCGGGCUGGAGUUGGAGAGAAGUACGCGGAAUGCGCGGUGUAGCGGUGAAAUGCUGAGAUAUCGCGCAGAACCCCGAUUGCGAAGGCAGCGUACCGGCUCCAAACUGACGCUGAGGCACGAAAGCGUGGGUAUCGAACAGGAUUAGAUACCCGUGUAGUC
Molecule: ribosomal RNA, 459 nt
Filed under: uncultured bacterium
Lineage: Bacteria
Description: partial 16S ribosomal RNA
Rfam family: Bacterial small subunit ribosomal RNA
Source: RNAcentral